GAUGAACGCUGGCGGCGUGCCUAAUACAUGCAAGUCGAGCGAACGGACGAGAAGCUUGCUUCUCUGAUGUUAGCGGCGGACGGGUGAGUAACACGUGGAUAACCUACCUAUAAGACUGGGAUAACUUCGGGAAACCGGAGCUAAUACCGGAUAAUAUUUUGAACCGCAUGGUUCAAAAGUAAAAGACGGUCUUGCUGUCACUUAUAGAUGGGUCCGCGCUGCAUUAGCUAGUUGGUAAGGUAACGGCUUACCAAGGCAACGAUGCAUAGCCGACCUGAGAGGGUGAUCGGCCACACUGGAACUGAGACACGGUCCAGACUCCUACGGGAGGCAGCAGUAGGGAAUCUUCCGCAAUGGGCGAAAGCCUGACGGAGCAACGCCGCGUGAGUGAUGAAGGUCUUCGGAUCGUAAAACUCUGUUAUUAGGGAAGAACAUAUGUGUAAGUAACUGUGCACAUCUUGACGGUACCUAAUCAGAAAGCCACGGCUAACUACGUG
Molecule: ribosomal RNA, 497 nt
Filed under: uncultured bacterium
Lineage: Bacteria
Description: partial 16S ribosomal RNA
Rfam family: Bacterial small subunit ribosomal RNA
Source: RNAcentral